UGGAUGCUAGAUCCCCACGUGGUAUCUCCCAUCCCGCAAAACCCACGGCGCCGCCGCCGCCGCCGCAGAAUACUUCCUCAUGCUGAUGGUGGCUCAGUAAUACUGUGAUCGGCCGCAUCGUGCGUUCCCACCUCUGCUGCAGUCCGUCGUCCGUUCAAGGCCAUGGCCAGGUGUGUACGUUCACGCACAAUGCCUAGGAUGAAGCCAUCACAGGCCAGUGCUGCAACUUCCUUUUCUCUUUUGCCGAUCUCGCGUUCUUCCUAUAUUGCAGAUCUUCCGAAAUUGUCCUGGGUUCAUGAGAAAAAAAACUGAUCUUGGGCUGGUUACGAGAUUGUUGUGUGAGUCCUACACACCUUGGCCUCUCCACCAACAUUACUCCAUGAGAGAAUUCUCCUUCAUGGUUGGAGAGCAGUAUGGCGUCGAACUCUCACAUUAGCAAAGCGAGGUACAUGCUUUUCCGGUUCUGCGUUGUGCACACCAGCAAUCGACUUGAGCAGCCUAAGAUGCAGUCCAAGGAUUCUGAAAAUAGCUGCACGUGCAGCCCAGCCUAUGCUAUUCUCUAAUUGGCAGAUAAAACUGCUUUGAAAAUUUAGAGCGCUCAAGAUGGUACGAGAUGUUUCACUUCAGAGGAUUCUCCGUCAUGGUUGGAGAGCAGUAUGGCGUCCAACUUUUAGAUUAGCAGAGCGAGGUGCAUGCUUUUUUGGUUCUGCGUUGUGCACAUACGCGAUCAACAGGAGCAGCCUAAGAUGCAAUCCAAGGAUCCCGAAAAUAGCUGCACGUGCAGCCCAGCCUAUGCCAUUCUCUAAUUGGAAGAUAAAUCUGCUUUGAAAAUUUAGAUCGCUCAAGAUGAGAGGUCUGUAAAAUAUAUAUUACAUAGUACAACUUAUCGACUGAGAAAGCAAUACCACCAGAGGCACAUUGCUCUGGGCGCAAUAGGACAUGGAAACAUCACACAACCUGGAUUGUUCAAGUCAGCGCUGCUGGGACGCGUUGUUCUGCAAGCCACAGCUGCUACCGUCCAGUUCAAUAGACCAGGAAAUCAAAACCUUCAUACAUUCAUGUUGAGAUGCAGGCGUGUCGUGUGUAUAAGCAUGAAGUGAAGUUUAUGUCGGUUGCUCCAUAGAUGGUACACGAGUAUAUACAGCAGGUAUAUUUGUAAAAAUAUAAUACAAUUUAUAGCUUACAUUAUCACAAUCGUUCCUUUAAAUAAAUUUGUUCUUUGCCAGUAGUAGUAAUUAAUCCCCCAUCUAUUGUCUCUUCUCAAUAUAUCAUACCUCAUGCUUUAUCUGUGUGAGUUACCAGAUCUCCAUUUCUCUUGGUCUAUGGCAGUUGCUGCGUGUUCGGCCAGGAGUAGUGUGAACUCUAAAGCAGCUUCAAUUACAGACGAUGGGCUCACAUCCAUCCCCAUAGCAUAAACAUCAUGCAUGUCACUGAUUCGUGCAUAUAGGUACAUCGGCAAAACAAGAUCAACAGGCUAGCACGUCCGACGCCCAUAGCUUAGUAUUGAUUGGUGCAAUCAUAUCUUAAUACUGAUCUACAUAUUUUCCACGGCAUUAAUCUUCCAACACAUAGAAGUGGAAUCCAUGUAAAAUCUAUGUGACGAUGAUGAUACUGAAUUGAGUCACUGAAUUGUGUCAUAUGUGUGAGAUUGAUUUCUGGCAGUGUAUAUGUAUGAUAUAAAAUCUAACAUGGAAGAUAUAUCUGAAUCUGAAAAUUAGUAUGUGCACAUGAUAUGUUCUCCUUCAGAACUUCAUCCAUUUUUCAGGUAUUCGAUCUACCGGAGGUUAUUCCUUCUCAGGUUCAUUCUUCUUAUGUUGAAGGUUCGGAUCUGCUAGAAUUCUUAUGUAGUUUUCCUCUACGUUUACUAACCUAUGCAAUCAAUUUGGCACCAACUUCAUAACCUGACCUUGACGUAAAUGGAGACAAAGUUAUACGAAAAGGCGUACAAGCAGUUACACAAGCACCCUGAUCUGCGCCUCUGUCAUAGUCAAGGUGCAUCGGUUCAUACAGUUCAGAGUCCAUAAGGAGCUUGUCCAAUUGUGAAUUAUAGGUUUGAUCUGGGGUUGCCACAUUUUGCAAAAGUAAUUCCUGGAAUUUUUUAAACCAGAAGGACACAACUGAAGUCGUGUGUUCUUUUGUUUCUUAUUGAAGUGCCAUAAUGUUGUUAUAUAAUGAACUAUAGAAACAAAUGCUUCUCAUCACCAGUCAACUAUUAGAAGUUUCAAUAGUACACAAAUACAUAUUCUUACUUCAUCUUGAUUAUUGCAGGAUACCAUGGCACAUGGUUUCGAAAGAAAAAAAAACCAUUGGGAAAAUCUGUACAAGAUAGUU
Triticum aestivum (bread wheat) is the source of this 2331-nucleotide long non-coding RNA. RefSeq lists it as uncharacterized. The transcript is spliced from 3 exons. The record is from RefSeq and is a predicted model, not a curated record. NCBI's taxonomy places the organism in Eukaryota, Viridiplantae, Streptophyta, Magnoliopsida, Poales, Poaceae.